UACGGAGGGUGCGAGCGUUAAUCGGAAUUACUGGGCGUAAAGGGUGCGUAGGUGGUUAAAUAAGUUAUCUGUGAAAUCCCUGGGCUUAACCUGGGCAGGUCAGAUAAGACUGUUUGACUCGAGUAUGGGAGAGGGUAGUGGAAUUUCCGGUGUAGCGGUGAAAUGCGUAGAGAUCGGAAGGAACACCAGUGGCGAAGGCGGCUACCUGGCCUAAUACUGACACUGAGGCACGAAAGCGUGGGGAGCAAACAGG
RNAcentral lists this ribosomal RNA (253 nucleotides) under uncultured bacterium. RNAcentral's name for it is "partial 16S ribosomal RNA". It matches the Rfam family "Bacterial small subunit ribosomal RNA", at positions 524 to 776 of the family's 1533-position model. The record is from RNAcentral.